CAAAUUAGGGUUUUCAAUUGGUGUCUUGGAUUCAAAAGAGGCGUUCCUGCAAAACACUUUCUUUGUGCUCAGUAUCGGAUUGGUCCCUUUGAUGUUUGGAUUUGGAACAGUGAAAAUUGAAGCAUUGGUUUCGAUUCUCACGGCCUUGUUGGUGUACUCGGUUUUGGGUUCUUUGUGAUUUCAGUUUGGAUGUGUGAGGAUGGUGUGUCGAUAAGCUAAUCAACAUGAAGUUCUUCAUGACAUUUAACCGGUCAAUUAAGCCAGGUGUGAUUAAACACAAGAUUGCACGCUGCUGCUGUGGAUUAGCAUUCCUCUGCUGUUGGUGUUGUAACCGAGCCAGUUUCAUCUUUGUUAGCAUAUCCGUAUCAGCACGAGGAAAAAGAGGACCACCUGCUUGAAGGGGUGAUCCAACAUUUGAUACUAACCCCCGACAGGAUUUGAAAGGCCGUCCUUACCUACGCCCAUAUUCCUAUUGUUCAGUAGCAUUCUGAGUCUUCUACUUAUUGAUGCAGACAACAGCUAACACAUACUCCAGCCAUCGCCCCAGAAAAAGCAUGUUCUUGCUUGGCAAGGGAAUGGAAAGCCUGCUUAUGAUUCACAGAGAAGAUCUGAUCCUUACGUUCAUUAUCACUUAUAUCUGAUAAACGCCUUCUUUGGAUUUCCAUUAAUUCAUUAUCAUCAAUCUUAUAUUGGCACUGCACAAAACCACUGUCACAGGUAGCUAAAGAGUUGUUAAUAUGAUAAUCUACAUAGGUACUAGAAGAUAAGGUAUGACAGGCACCAAUUCCCUCUGAUUAUCCGGCACAGCUUAAAGAAAAUAGUCCGAACACAGUGGGUUAACUUUGUUUGUGAUUGGAACUGCAUCAUUAGAUAACGAUGAAGCUUCAUGUAUUACUACAUCAGGAUUGGAUACAUCGCUUUCAUUAGCCAAUGAAGUGGUACUCGUGUCUAUUGAAAUGCAGUCCCUAGCAACCGAAGAAUUACUUUCCAGAUUCUCCAGCUCAGUAUCUUUACUCCCAAGUUCCUUUUCAUUAAUAUUCAUUUGAAUUUUUAUCAUGCGCCUGCAAAACUCUCUCGAAUAAAGAAUGAAUAUAAUCUUGGUUUCCAUAAGCAGAUUUAAGAAUCAACAUCUUCUGUGUUACCGUAGGGAAAUCCAAUUUUUCCUGCAAAACUUGUGAACUGAAGCAAGUAGCGCUCGGAUUAACAGAAUAAUACUUAGUUUUAUUUGAAGUAACCACACCAUUUUUUCUGAGGAACACAACUGAUAAUUUUAUCUUUUGUGAAUCCUUUUCCAUCAUCUCGGUUCACAUUUUCCUUCUGGUGUAAAAAAGAAAGUGGCCGACUAGCGGAAUCCCAUAACUGGCAAAUUGCGGAAAUGAGCUGAGGUGUUGUCCUGGUGUUAUUUUGUACCGUGGUAAAUUGUUGGACUUACCGGUUUUGUUGUUGCAUUUGCAGGGAAACGGAACCUUAAUGACUUGGUGAGCGUUCUUCUCAGACUUGUUUGACUUGGACGGUAAUGCGGGCGGUUGAUGCUUCAGUGAUGAGUAUUGGUGGCUACGGUUUGGAUUCGUGCUCCUGAGGCCAAGUCACCAGCCAACCACUUCCAGUAACCAUCUUUGUCCUUAUUGAAAUUGAAAAGCCUCUUGAAGUAAUCCUCGAAUGCAAAAUUCCCGCGAAAGUGGGAUGAGAAAGCGGCUUAUUUGCUGCAGCGGUUUUUUGGGCUUGGUUUGAGCGACGGUGGGUAGACAAUGCUUGAAGAUUGUUUGGAUAGGCAAAUGGAACUUGAACCUUUAUCUGCAGAGACUAGUGUAAAAUUUCCCAAAUAAUGAUUGCCGUAAUAUGAAAGCCGGUUACGUUCUUUGCUCAUGUUGUUCACACAAGGAAAGGGAAUGUUCCCAACUGCACCGUUUCUAAUAUCCUCGGAAGUAGAGGCUUUCUUGAACUUGCUGUCAUGUUUAAAAAAUGGUCAAUGGUUGUUCACUGAUAAAGUCAGAUUGUAGUUUCUCCACGUAAUGAUCUCUGAAUUUGUUUUUUGUCUACAAAAGCUGCAUGAUCUUCAUGUCUAUGACCAUUGCUACCUUGCAAUGCUUUUAAGCUAUCUACUGAAAUACUUUUAAUUUCUUCUUUCAUUGAUUUAGAAUUUGUAUAUUUAGCAGAUGAGUUUGACGAUUCAUUUGGUAUGCCAUCAAAACCAUUUAAUGAAUGAGGAAAUUUUUCCUUUGCCUUUUGAUCAA
Lathyrus oleraceus (garden pea) is the source of this 2234-nucleotide long non-coding RNA. RefSeq lists it as uncharacterized. The transcript has 4 exons. Lineage: Eukaryota; Viridiplantae; Streptophyta; Magnoliopsida; Fabales; Fabaceae. The record is from RefSeq and is a predicted model, not a curated record.